Monodelphis domestica (gray short-tailed opossum) is the source of this 1196-nucleotide long non-coding RNA. RefSeq lists it as uncharacterized. NCBI's taxonomy places the organism in Eukaryota, Metazoa, Chordata, Mammalia, Didelphimorphia, Didelphidae. The record is from RefSeq and is a predicted model, not a curated record.
CCGAAGAAAGGCUCUGUGGCAGACAACUCUCCUCUCCGCAGCUCCCCCACCUCCCAAAGGGAUUCUGCUCCCUCUUCCAAAGCAUGACCCUCUCCCCACCUAAACAAAAGCCCCAGCCGCCCCCCAAGGCGUCAAACAUUUCAGAAAUGUGUGUUGAAGGGAGGGAGAGGGAGCUGCUUCGAGGAUGCCUUCAUUCGGAGCUGCUUCACCUUGUCCUGAGCAGCCACCCUCCCCAGGUCUUCUGCCGGGGCUCCCCCUCCCCAACCACGCCCCGAGCAGUGGGCAUCUCUGGGGCCCUGUCAUUUGUGGUCAGCUGUUGAAGCUCUGACCCAGGGGCUGAGGAGGGGGAAGGGACCGAAUUCCCAUCUCCUCCCCUUUCCUCUCCUCUCCCCCCUCACCACCCAGGGUGGGGCAGUGCCAGCCAGGACAACCUGGCCCUGGCCAGGGCCAAGACUGUGUUGAAACAAGAGGCUAAUUACGUUGCUGAAACUGGCAUCUAAAAAUACAGCAACAGGGCCAUGUGUGUGCCGUGCACAUGGAGGACAGAGACAGGGUGGGUGGGGGGAGCGGGGAGGAGGGAAACUGAGACUCAGGAGAGCUGGAAAUGGGGGUGGAGAGGCAGAGAAGGCGCAGCGGAGGGGAAGAGCGGGGCAAGAAAGGACCAAAAGAGGGAACAGAGGAAAGCAAUGCCACGGGAGAGGAGAGGAGAGCCAACACCAACACGGGGAGGAAGAGCCAGUGUUCCUGAUUCCUGAUUCAGAGCCCUGAAGGCCCCUACCCCAUCCCACCGAUUACAAACAUCCCUAAAACCUGCCCAGGCAUGCAGAGGCCUCCCACUGGGUACCACUGGGUGUGAGAACCCCUACCAGAGAAUGCUCCCCCAUGGACGUCUCCUCCCAUACCCAGCGGAGCCAGUCAGUAUCUGGGACAAGAGAAACUGACCAUUGCCAGGACUUGAUUAAUCCUGCUGAGGACUUUGGGUCUAGGGUGGGAAUUCUUAUAACCUUUGGACCACAUGGAGGGCCUGUGGAUAGAUUCCCAGAUCCAUACAUUUGAACAGAAAAAACGAAUCUGUAUUUUCUGAACCUUCAGUUUCCUUUGUAAGCCAACAUAUUUUAUUUUAUGCACCUAAGAACAUUUUUCUGAACAAAUCAUCAUUCUAAUGCAAAAAAUAAAAAUAAAUCGUGACAACCCCC